This 241-nucleotide ribosomal RNA is filed under the name Thalassotalea sp. G20_0. RNAcentral describes it as "partial 23S ribosomal RNA". It matches the Rfam family "Bacterial large subunit ribosomal RNA", at positions 2690 to 2925 of the family's 2925-position model. The record is from RNAcentral. Lineage: Bacteria; Pseudomonadati; Pseudomonadota; Gammaproteobacteria; Alteromonadales; Colwelliaceae.
GACCGGAGUGGACGGACCACUGGUGUUCGGGUUGUGUCGCCAGACGCAUUGCCCGGUAGCUAUGUUCGGACGGGAUAACCGCUGAAAGCAUCUAAGCGGGAAGCCCCCUUCAAGAUGAGACUUCCCUGACUCCUUGAGAGUCCUGAAGAGCCGUUAAAGACUAUGACGUUGAUAGGUUGGGUGUGUAAGUGCUGUGAGGCAUUGAGCUAACCAAUACUAAUGACUCGUGCGGCUUGACCAU